GGAGGGAGGCGACACUAAAUUCUCUCCUGACACCAACUGUAUCUUUUUCAGAACCGAAAAGGGAAACAACUCCGUCCUUGACCUUCAACAAGAAAUUGACUCAGCUAGCUUAACUAUUCAAACAAACAACUGUGUACUCUCUUCAAUUCCGGGGAUGAGUUUGAUUUACCGUAAAUGACUGCAUUUAAUGAACUAAAUUAUGCUAUUUAAAUGCAUUUUGUGAAUGGGAGCGCCGUUUGUUACCCGGCGCUCUGGCGAGGCUAAAUUGUGCUGUAAAUGAUAUGAUAUGGAACAUAUGUGCGGCAUUCAUAAUUUAAGGGUUGCUAUGGCGCGCCUUGUCGGGAGGCCACACUGAGUAGCGAGUCUUUAUUUACCUGCUGAAAUGAAGGUGAUAUCUCCGCGAAUCACGAGGUCUCGCUGACCUUGGCAGAAUUACAGAGCUAAUAUUUUCACAUGGAUGAGCUGUUCCGGCGCGAUCUCUCUGAUGGCGAUGACACAGAUCGGCUUCCUGCGGCGCAGCGCCGAUUUCUCCCGGCUUUUGGCUUCCCCGCCCUUCUUUCCUCGCACAAACAUUUGCGGCUGCCUCCACGAGGGCCAUCCUCCCUCCGUUAAGAUGAGGAAACUGAGUCGGAGAAAGGCUAAGACGUUUGUCUGGGGUCUCACAAUGAGGAAACUGAGGCAAACAGAGUUCAAUGACUUGCCCAGGGUCACAUAGCUAGAUAAAGCAAACCCCAAUUUUACCACAAUGGAGUUUUGUCCUUGAGUACUACUACAUGAAUGGAGGCGGGAUGAUGGAUCAAAGUGAGCCCAACAGAGGAAAGCCUCUCUCCAAUUCAUUUCCCUGAGCACCCCAAAUAUUAAGAGCAGUGCCUGGACCAGGCAUCCAGGAUAAGGAAUAAACCAAGAGUAGAUUUUCCUUCUACA
This 924-nucleotide long non-coding RNA is filed under the name Monodelphis domestica (gray short-tailed opossum). RNAcentral's name for it is "lncRNA (ENSMODG00000047296.1)". Lineage: Eukaryota; Metazoa; Chordata; Mammalia; Didelphimorphia; Didelphidae. The record is from RNAcentral.